This 274-nucleotide ribosomal RNA is filed under the name uncultured bacterium. RNAcentral describes it as "partial 16S ribosomal RNA". It matches the Rfam family "Bacterial small subunit ribosomal RNA", at positions 523 to 796 of the family's 1533-position model. The record is from RNAcentral.
AUACAGAGGGUGCGAGCGUUAAUCGGAAUUACUGGGCGUAAAGCGCGCGUAGGCGGUCUAUUAAGUCAGAUGUGAAAUCCCAGGGCUCAACCUUGGAACUGCAUCUGAUACUGGUAGACUAGAGUUUUGGAGAGGGAAGUAGAAUUUCAGGUGUAGCGGUGAAAUGCAUAGAGAUCUGAAGGAAUACCAGUGGCGAAGGCGACUUCCUGGCCAAAAACUGACGCUGAGGUGCGAAAGCGUGGGUAGCAAACGGGAGUAGAUACCCCAGUAGUCC